GAUUAUUUUUCAAAGAAGGUCUGAAAGCCCAAUGUUAUUAUACAGCUGCUAAGAAAAGCUUCACGUUAAAUAUUUAUCAGCUUUUUUUUUUUUUUUAAGAGGCACCGCCGGACUAGCUAGUGUAUCGGAUGUGUUCGUAGUGAUAAAAGUGUCGCCUGCGUCUCCAAGUAUCCCUCCGCUUCUCGUGAAGAGGUCUGAAAGAGGCAAUCGGCAGCGCCAUUUUGGUGUGGGUUUAUUUUGCGCAGGGAUAGAAAAUAAGCUGCUUGAACAAAUUGCCAGUUUUUGUAAAGUUGACCGCAUUGCAGCUAGGUGUUGCAGAGUGUAAUCGGCAGUUUAGUGCUUGUUUUUACGAGGACACAGGAAGCAUGUCUGGCGGUGGAGUUAUUCGAGGCCCAGCUGGCAAUAAUGAUUGUCGCAUCUACGUGGGGAACCUUCCUCCAGAUAUUCGCACCAAGGACAUCGAAGACGUUUUUUACAAGUAUGGUGCUAUCCGCGACAUCGAUUUGAAGAACAGGCGAGGGGGCCCGCCUUUCGCAUUCGUUGAGUUUGAAGAUCCCAGGGAUGCGGAGGAUGCAGUGUAUGGACGCGACGGGUAUGACUAUGAUGGCUACAGACUACGAGUUGAAUUUCCCAGAAGUGGAAGGGGUACUGGCCGAGGAGGCGGUGGUGGCGGUGGGGGAGCCCCACGUGGAAGAUAUGGUCCCCCAUCUAGGCGCUCGGAGUACCGAGUCAUAGUUUCAGGGCUUCCUCCCAGUGGUAGUUGGCAGGAUCUCAAGGAUCACAUGCGUGAAGCAGGUGAUGUAUGUUAUGCAGACGUUUUCCGAGAUGGGACUGGUGUGGUGGAGUUUGUUCGCAAAGAAGAUAUGACCUAUGCAGUGCGAAAGCUGGAUAACACUAAAUUCCGAUCUCACGAGGGGGAGACUGCCUACAUCCGUGUGAAAGUUGAUGGCCCCCGGAGCCCCAGCUAUGGAAGAUCUCGUUCACGAAGCCGAAGCCGCAGCAGGAGUCGCAGCAGAAGCAACAGUCGCAGUCGCAGCUAUUCUCCUCGACGUAGCAGAGGAUCGCCACGUUACUCUCCCCGUCACAGCCGAUCCCGUUCUCGUACUUAGGGGGUUGGGGAAUGAUUACAGCCUGUUGCUUUACUGGUGAUUCUUCUGUUACAUAUCUGAAGAAGGAUUAAAGAAUACUUUGGAAUAAAGGAUUGUGAAGCACAAUUCAUUCAUAUUAGGAUUAUCAAAGCGUGUCUGUUUGGAGGAGGAUUUGAGGAGGCGCAGUCAGAUCAAUAAUGGAGGCAAUGGUAUGACACCAAGCGCUUCAGUCACCUUUAAAACUUAGCAGUAUUGAAUAUGAAUAGAUUCCCUGAUUUGCAUUAUCAUAUUGGAGAACAUAGUAUUUUGAGUGCCUGUGAAGUUCCUCUUAUUUCCUCCCCAUCUCCUAACUGCUUUGCUAAGUAAUUAGUUACCUGUAACUUCAUUUAUCAAUACUGCUAAGCUCGCAUGUCCUCUGUCUGACUGGAUGUAGCAUUGCUUGUGCACCAUAUUGAAAAGUGUUUCUGUGUAUUUUUUUUUUUUUUUUUUUUUUUUAUUGACUUAAUAUGUAACCUGCAUUUGAGAGAGAGAGCGAGAGAGAGCCUGGUUUGCAGAAGGCCUAACCAGUCUAAACUGACUACCUUGGAGGGACAUCCCUGGCCCCCCCAAAGUCAAGAAAGGAAUCAAAAUGUCCUACAGGAAGUUUUAAAGUGUGUGGUGAUGGAUGAAGGGCAGAAAGAUUGACAUGCUGUAACAUUUUAAAUGUCACAACUUGCCAUUACUGUACUGCAGUUAUGUGAUUUGUUAAAAUGUAAAUUACUAUUCCAUACAUUUUUAUAGAAGCCUUUUUUCCUUCUCUAGAGAACUUUUUACAGAAAGAUCUCCCAGAUCUGUCUUUUUAGCAUUUACGUAUGAUGUGCUGUGCCAUUCACUUGCUUUGGGAGCUGAUCAUUGUCUGGCAUCAUGGAUUUUGUAAAGUUGACUUAAACUGAUAACCAGUCAUGAUCUCCUCCUAUAAUUUUUUUUAAAGAGCUGUUUUAUUCUGGUGCACAUUCUAACUUGUUGCCUCCUUCUUUUUGGUUUUGCUGGUAUUUAAAGGUUUGGAUUGAAGGGGCUCACUGGAUCCCAAUCCUUGGAGCCGGAUCAUUGGAUCAUUUCAUAAUCAGGAUAGGAUAGGGAAGGAUGGAUUCAUGGAGCGGGAUCAAUUUACCGGGAACCGUAGGAGAGGAUUCCCCCCAACCAAACCUCAUUCUCAUGGAAUUUUCAUAAUUUUCUUUCAAUUGGCUUUUUUUAAUAAUGAAAAUAAAUUCCCCAUUCCCUGAACUUUUUCUUUUAUUUGGAGCCCCAAAGAGGUCGGUCGUGGAUUUGGCCCGUGAUUUUUAUUUUUUAUAUAUAUUUUUGGUUCUUUUAUUAAAAUAUAAAGAGGAUCAGCGAGGACCAGGAGGCUGGAGCAAUCUUUGGAUGGAUUCAGCAAAUGGAAUUUGGUAAUUGUAAAAAAAAAAAAAUAUUGCAGGGGUGUGGGAAGUGGGCUGGUGGGUGGGUGGCUGGGUUGGGUUCGUUAAUUGGUGCUUUAGGAUUACCCCAAUUGGCAUUCAUUGAGAGUGGUAAGGGGAGAUUUGUCUUAUCCCAAAUUGACUUCACCAAAUUUGUUAGGAUCCAGUAUUAAUGGUUUUUAAUUUUUCACAAUAAAUCUUAUGAAAAGA
RNA transcript from Polypterus senegalus (gray bichir), 2731 nucleotides. It is a transcript of the gene named serine/arginine-rich splicing factor 1, with no coding region annotated. The transcript has 5 exons. The record is from RefSeq and is a predicted model, not a curated record. Lineage: Eukaryota; Metazoa; Chordata; Cladistia; Polypteriformes; Polypteridae.